RNAcentral lists this ribosomal RNA (492 nucleotides) under uncultured bacterium. Its description in RNAcentral is "partial 16S ribosomal RNA". It matches the Rfam family "Bacterial small subunit ribosomal RNA", at positions 29 to 507 of the family's 1533-position model. The record is from RNAcentral.
AGUGAACGCUGGCGGUAGGCCUAACACAUGCAAGUCGAACGGCAGCACAGUAAGAGCUUGCUCUUACGGGUGGCGAGUGGCGGACGGGUGAGGAAUACAUCGGAAUCUACUUUUUCGUGGGGGAUAACGUAGGGAAACUUACGCUAAUACCGCAUACGACCUACGGGUGAAAGCAGGGGAUCUUCGGACCUUGCGCGAUUGAAUUAGCCGAUGUCGGAUUAGCUAGUUGGCGGGGUAAAGGCCCACCAAGGCGACGAUCCGUAGCUGGUCUGAGAGGAUGAUCAGCCACACUGGAACUGAGACACGGUCCAGACUCCUACGGGAGGCAGCAAUGGGGAAUAUUGGACAAUGGGCGCAAGCCUGAUCCAGCCAUACCGCGUGGGUGAAGAAGGCCUUCGGGUUGUAAAGCCCUUUUGUUGGGAAAGAAAAGCAGCAGGUUAAUACCCCGCUGUUCUGACGGUACCCAAAGAAUAAGCACCGGCUAACUUCGUG